CGGAUUGAAGGCUGAAAUUCGCCUUCAUGAAGCCGGAAUUGCUAGUAAUGGCAGGUCAGCAUACUGCCGUGAAUACGUUCCCGGGCCUUGUACACACCGCCCGUCACACCAUGAGAGUUGGGGAUACCCGAAGCCUGUGAGCUAACAGUAAUGGAGCAGCAGUCGAAGGUAGAAUCAAUGAUUGGGGUGAAGUCGUAACAAGGUAGC
RNAcentral lists this ribosomal RNA (207 nucleotides) under uncultured bacterium. Its description in RNAcentral is "partial 16S ribosomal RNA". It matches the Rfam family "Bacterial small subunit ribosomal RNA", at positions 1294 to 1500 of the family's 1533-position model. The record is from RNAcentral.